RNAcentral lists this small RNA (28 nucleotides) under Bombyx mori (domestic silkworm). RNAcentral's name for it is "ovarian small RNA-36338". Lineage: Eukaryota; Metazoa; Arthropoda; Insecta; Lepidoptera; Bombycidae. The record is from RNAcentral.
UUAACGUUAUACACUAGGCCAUGACAGC